This 72-nucleotide transfer RNA is filed under the name Trioceros deremensis. RNAcentral's name for it is "transfer RNA-Asn". Lineage: Eukaryota; Metazoa; Chordata; Lepidosauria; Squamata; Chamaeleonidae. The record is from RNAcentral.
CAGGACCAGCGGGCCUCGAUCCCGCAAUAACUAGUUAACAGCUAGCCGCCCAAACCAGCGGGCAUCAAUCCA